AGUGGCGCACGGGUGCGUAACACGUAUGCAACCUACCUCUAACUGGGGAAUAGCCUCCCGAAAGGGAGAUUAAUACCGCAUAAAAUUACGAAGGGGCAUCUCUUUGUAAUCAAACCUCAGGGGGUUAGAGAUGGGCAUGCGUCCGAUUAGCUAGUUGGCGGGGUAACGGCUCACCAAGGCUACGAUCGGUAGGGGGUCUGAGAGGAUGACCCCCCCACACUGGUACUGAGACACGGACCAG
This 241-nucleotide ribosomal RNA is filed under the name uncultured bacterium. RNAcentral describes it as "partial 16S ribosomal RNA". It matches the Rfam family "Bacterial small subunit ribosomal RNA", at positions 94 to 334 of the family's 1533-position model. The record is from RNAcentral.